Molecule: long non-coding RNA, 764 nt
Organism: Triticum dicoccoides
Lineage: Eukaryota; Viridiplantae; Streptophyta; Magnoliopsida; Poales; Poaceae
Exons: 3
Source: RefSeq, a predicted model, not a curated record
GGCCGCACACCUAAGAUCAGAAAAGAGAGAUGCCCCGCUCCUCUGUCCCCCACCCAACACUAGCCCCACAUAUUCGUCAACGCGGUUUCCACGAGGCCUUUGCCACUGCCCCUUGAUGCGAUGUCUGCACUUCCCACUCCUCGUGGGCACGUCGUUCCUCUCUCGGUUGUCCAGUCCUACCUUUGAUUACAACAGGUCAAUUAUGGAGAGCGGCGUACGGGAAUAGAAGGGUGUAUUUCUCUUGCCUUCAAAAAGAAGGUUCCAGAAAGCACUCGUGGCAGACGAGAGGACCCACAUGGCCUCCGCACAGGCAUGAGGUGUGUCCAGGGCCUUGCCCGCACCCGUGUGGACCGCCUUUCGCCCAUCAUUCCACCUAUAAAUCCCUUAUUUCAUGAAACCCUUCACAAGAUUUUUCUCUGAAUUUUCCACCACCGCAAGUUUCCAUUCCUAGGAGAACCAAUAUGAGGCCUAUUACGGCAAUCUACGGGAGGGGGAAUCCACCAUGGAAUGCUUCUACAUUACCUUAUUGCCUCCAUGACCAUGUGUGAGUAUUUUCCUUAGGACCUUUGGGUCCAUAGCAAUAUAUAUAUAUAAGACUCUCUCUCUCUCUCUCUCUCUCUCUUUUGUUCUUAAAUACCAAGUUUCUAUGAGCUGCCUCACAUGAUAAAGAUCAAUUUGAUGUAAUCGGUGGUGUCUUUGUUGGGAUAUGAUGAAUUUUCACUUUAUGAUCCGAUUUUUCAUUAAAAUCAAUUCAAUCUUUUGAA